Molecule: ribosomal RNA, 253 nt
Filed under: uncultured bacterium
Lineage: Bacteria
Description: partial 16S ribosomal RNA
Rfam family: Bacterial small subunit ribosomal RNA
Source: RNAcentral
UACGUAGGGGGCAAGCGUUGUCCGGAAUCAUUGGGCGUAAAGCGCGUGUAGGCGGUUCGGUAAGUCCGCUGUGAAAGUCGGGGGCUCAACCCUCGGAUGCCGGUGGAUACUGUCGAGCUUGAGUACGGAAGAGGCGAGUGGAAUUCCUGGUGUAGCGGUGAAAUGCGCAGAUAUCAGGAAGAACACCCGUGGCGAAAGCGGCUCUCUGGAACGGUACUGACGCUGAGACGCGAAAGCGUGGGGAGCGAACAGG